GAUGAACGCUGGCGGCGUGCCUAAUACAUGCAAGUCGAGCGAACGGACGAGAAGCUUGCUUCUCUGAUGUUAGCGGCGGACGGGUGAGUAACACGUGGAUAACCUACCUAUAAGACUGGGAUAACUUCGGGAAACCGGAGCUAAUACCGGAUAAUACUUUGAACCGCAUGGUUCAAAAGUGAAAGACGGUCUUGCUGUCACUUAUAGAUGGAUCCGCGCUGCAUUAGCUAGUUGGUAAGGUAACGGCUUACCAAGGCAACGAUGCAUAGCCGACCUGAGAGGGUGAUCGGCCACACUGGAACUGAGACACGGUCCAGACUCCUACGGGAGGCAGCAGUAGGGAAUCUUCCGCAAUGGGCGAAAGCCUGACGGAGCAACGCCGCGUGAGUGAAGAAGGUCUUCGGAUCGUAAAACUCUGUUAUUAGGGAAGAACAAAUGUGUAAGUAACUAUGCACGUCUUGACGGUACCUAAUCAGAAAGCCACGGCUAACUACGUGCCAGCAGCCGCGGUAAUACGUAGGUGGCAAGCGUUAUCCGGAAUUAUUGGGCGUAAAGCGCGCGUAGGCGGUUUUUUAAGUCUGAUGUGAAAGCCCACGGCUCAACCGUGGAGGGUCAUUGGAAACUGGAAAACUUGAGUGCAGAAGAGGAAAGUGGAAUUCCAUGUGUAGCGGUGAAAUGCGCAGAGAUAUGGAGGAACACCAGUGGCGAAGGCGACUUUCUGGUCUGUAACUGACGCUGAUGUGCGAAAGCGUGGGGAUCAAACAGGAUUAGAUACCCUGGUAGUCCACGCCGUAAACGAUGAGUGCUAAGUGUUAGGGGGUUUCCGCCCCUUAGUGCUGCAGCUAACGCAUUAAGCACUCCGCCUGGGGAGUACGACCGCAAGGUUGAAACUCAAAGGAAUUGACGGGGACCCGCACAAGCGGUGGAGCAUGUGGUUUAAUUCGAAGCAACGCGAAGAACCUUACCAAAUCUUGACAUCCUUUGACAACUCUAGAGAUAGAGCUUUCCCCUUCGGGGGACAAAGUGACAGGUGGUGCAUGGUUGUCGUCAGCUCGUGUCGUGAGAUGUUGGGUUAAGUCCCGCAACGAGCGCAACCCUUAAGCUUAGUUGCCAUCAUUAAGUUGGGCACUCUAAGUUGACUGCCGGUGACAAACCGGAGGAAGGUGGGGAUGACGUCAAAUCAUCAUGCCCCUUAUGAUUUGGGCUACACACGUGCUACAAUGGACAAUACAAAGGGCAGCGAAACCGUGAGGUCAAGCAAAUCCCAUAAAGUUGUUCUCAGUUCGGAUUGUAGUCUGCAACUCGACUACAUGAAGCUGGAAUCGCUAGUAAUCGUAGAUCAGCAUGCUACGGUGAAUACGUUCCCGGGUCU
This 1372-nucleotide ribosomal RNA is filed under the name uncultured bacterium. Its description in RNAcentral is "bacterial SSU rRNA". It matches the Rfam family "Bacterial small subunit ribosomal RNA", at positions 28 to 1381 of the family's 1533-position model. The record is from RNAcentral.